CUCAAAUGCUGUCCUAAAGAUACUUCACAGCAAGCAGGGGAGAUGCCAAAGACAAAGAAUCCUUCACCGGUAACUUCUACCCAACCUGUGAGACACUUGCUUCAUGAAAUAACCCCAGGCUCUACCUCUCCGGCUAAUCCCACAGGCGGCUUCAGAAGUUUCAGCAUUCUGCACAUCCACACUACAUAGCAUUGAUCUAGAGAAGAACACAACCACGACCCAAACAUCUAAAUCUGUUUGAUGAAGACAAACAGAGCAAAUGGUUCUAUACAAAGCAAGCUGAAUGCUUUGGCUUGACAAGAUGCCUUUUUCUGGGAUGGCAAAAGAAAUGCUCUAGAGAUCUUGCCACAAAUCUCUAGAUAUUACCAUACAAUGCUGAUCAGUUUGCAUUGGCUCCCACCUCCACAGGCAACUCAGUUCCCUUGCAAACCUCCCUUUCUCUUGGUCUUAUUCCGUCCAUCUGCAAAGUGAAGAUGGGUUAGGUUAUCUCUAAGAUAUCACUCCAGCCCUUAAAUUCCAAAGUUUCAGGAUUCUUUGUUCUGUCUUCUACCUGAGCUCUUGAAAAGGCAAUGGGUGGCACUGGAAA
This is a long non-coding RNA of Peromyscus maniculatus bairdii (prairie deer mouse), 586 nucleotides long. RefSeq lists it as uncharacterized. The record is from RefSeq and is a predicted model, not a curated record. Lineage: Eukaryota; Metazoa; Chordata; Mammalia; Rodentia; Cricetidae.